AGGUGAGCGGCGGCAUCCGCGAUGUUCUUGAAAACUGUCGUGGCGUAACCCGUCACCGUGGGUUCAAAUCCCACACUCU
This 79-nucleotide transfer RNA is filed under the name Kitasatospora gansuensis. Its description in RNAcentral is "tRNA-Ser". The record is from RNAcentral. Lineage: Bacteria; Bacillati; Actinomycetota; Actinomycetes; Kitasatosporales; Streptomycetaceae.